AAACAUUCCAGGCGGGGAGAUACCAUGUUCACAAAGGUCGUUUUUCCAGAGCAAGUCUUAUCCACCGAACUCUGUAUGUGCUGAACUGUGCGAUUUACCAAAAAGCUAGAAAUUCAACUACAUAAUUUGUGGUAAUAGGGCACUAUAAUCAUGGUGUCCCUCA
Grammomys surdaster is the source of this 163-nucleotide small nuclear RNA. RefSeq annotates it as U1 spliceosomal RNA. The transcript has a single exon. The record is from RefSeq and is a predicted model, not a curated record. NCBI's taxonomy places the organism in Eukaryota, Metazoa, Chordata, Mammalia, Rodentia, Muridae.